AACGAACGCUGGCGGCAUGCCUAACACAUGCAAGUCGAACGAGACCCCUGACUUCGGUUGGCGGGUCUAGUGGCGCACGGGUGCGUAACGCGUGGGAAUCUGCCCUUGGGUUCGGAAUAACUCAGAGAAAUUUGAGCUAAUACCGGAUGAUGACGAAAGUCCAAAGAUUUAUCGCCCAGGGAUGAGCCCGCGUAAGAUUAGCUUGUUGGUGGGGUAAUGGCCUACCAAGGCGACGAUCUUUAGCUGGUCUGAGAGGAUGAUCAGCCACACUGGGACUGAGACACGGCCCAGACUCCUACGGGAGGCAGCAGUAAGGAAUAUUGCUCAAUGGCCGAAAGGCUGAAGCAGCAACGCCGCGUGGAGGAUGAAAUACUUUUGUAUGUAAACUCCUGUAAGAAGGGAAAAUAUUCCGAUUUAUCGGGAUUGAUUGUACCUUCAGAGUAAGCCCCGGCUAACUACGUGCCAGCAGCCGCGGUAAGUGACGUCAGA
This 489-nucleotide ribosomal RNA is filed under the name uncultured bacterium. RNAcentral's name for it is "bacterial SSU rRNA". It matches the Rfam family "Bacterial small subunit ribosomal RNA", at positions 29 to 532 of the family's 1533-position model. The record is from RNAcentral.